Molecule: long non-coding RNA, 10398 nt
Organism: Oncorhynchus keta (chum salmon)
Lineage: Eukaryota; Metazoa; Chordata; Actinopteri; Salmoniformes; Salmonidae
Exons: 4
Source: RefSeq, a predicted model, not a curated record
UGUGCAUAUAAUUGCUUUCUGUAUGAGAUUAAGUUCUUAUUGAGAUUAGGUUAUAGGUGGUCACAGACAGGAGGAGUGUGCUUCCAUUUAAUUUCUCAAUGUCGUUGUGCAGGCAAGGCUAUUAUUAAUGUGAUCAUUUCUUUGUUUUAAACAAACUGGACACUGAUUACAUUGUGGCAUAGGAUAGGCCCCAUAUUUACAGUGUGCUUCAUUAUAUUCUAUCUCACCGCAGAUAUUAUGUUGUUGUUGUAGCCCAUUUGAAAAGGUUGGGACAGCGCAUAGACACGUUUCGAUUACAGAGGGGACGCAGAUGGUGGAGGAGACCUACCGGCAUUCUGUCUCGAGUUUGCAGUAACAGUAGGACGUAUAUUUAUGGCAGCUGGAGUCCGUAGCCUACACGCGCUUGAAUACAAAAUACAGACAUCUACAUACUAGCAAUUCCUCAUGCCAUCCAAACACUCCUUUGUCCAGUCUUUAUUUACUCUCUCUUAUUUACUUUAAAUGGCUGCUCGCCAUUUACCAGACCUCUGCUCAAGCAACGUGACGCACUCCACAGCACGUCCUCAUUUUAGAGGAGAUCGACGCAUGGAGGAUCGGACAGCUCGAGCGUUUCAUCGCACCCUUACUGACUGACACAGAUGCUGCGAGACUGGUGCAUUGUGGACCGGCGGUCAAAUUUACACCAUUGCAAAAGUGGCCAAACCCACAGCCCAGCUGGCAGGAUGCAAGUCCCCAUGAUGACUGGGGUGCCCUGGUGUCCCUGACGGACUGGUGAAUACAGGAGUAGGGAGAGACAGAUGGGUAUGUGUCCAGUAUAUCCUCAUACUGUGGAGGGGGUUCUUGUAAAGGCAGAGGUUUAACAGCCGUUAUUGAUGGUAAUUCUGUUUUGUGUGCUCCAUUCCUUGAUAUUUUUUUAUUGACAAUUGUUGGUAUUAGUGGGGGCUGCCGUAACAAGUUAUUCAUUUAAAUGAGGUUAGUUCAAGGUAAAACAUGUCAAAUAAGUUUUAAUAAAAGGUUAUUCAGGUCCAUUAGAUACUGUUCCUCAACGCCUAUGAUUCUUGGUGAUUUUGCAGAUUAAUUUAGUAACUCUUCAUAGUAUCUAUUGGCAGUGGUCAAGGCCAAUGGUCCAGUACGUCCUUGGUAGGGUUUUGGGGACAGGUGUUCCAGGGGGUUGCGUUCCACUUUCUGCUGCUCUCUGCUCUGUGUUUAUCUCCAGAUAUAUCCUGAGGAAGAUGCUGGGAAGGUGCCAGCCCUCAGAGCCUAUUUAGAUGAGUCCACAACAUGUCCUGACUGACAAGGCUGUCAACAAAGCUGUUUUUAAACAGUUGUCAACGUGGUUCAUCCUUACCGAACUGGGACGGGAACUGGGACCUAUGGCUUUCACCCACUGAGAAAGGGGCACAACAUUUGCAUUCACUCACUGCUGAUGGGGCACAGCCACACUUCUUUACUUAUCAAUAUGUGUUAGAAGUGUAUCACCUUGCUGUGAUUAUUUGGAUAUUUUAUUUAGCCUACUUAAAAUGGGAUUAUCAUUGGCACAUUGCUGGUUCCCCUUUAACCUUACUGAAAUGAGCUAAAUCAGUCAGUGUUUCUUGGUUGUCUUAACCUCUCUGGGAGAUGUGUAGCGUCCCACCUCGCCAACAGCCAGUGACAGUGCAGGGCGCAAAAUUCAAAACAACAAAAAUCUCAAUUAAAAUUCCUCAAAGCAUACAAGUAUUUUACACCAUUUUAAAGAUAAAAUUCUCGCUAAUCCAGCCACAGUGUCGGAUUUCAAAAAUGCUUUACAGCGAGAGUACCACAAACGAUUAUGUUAGGUCACCACCAACUCACAGAAACACAGCCAUUUUUCCAGCCAAAGAGAUGAGUCACAAAAAGCACGAGAAAAUUAAUCACUAACCUUUGAGCUUCAUCAGAUGACACUCAUAGGACUUCAUGUUACACACUACAUGUAUGUUUUGUUCGAUAAAGUGCAUAUUUAUAUUUAAAAAAUCUAAUUUUACAUUGGCGCGUUACGUUCAGUAGUAAAACAUGCGGUGAUUGUGCAGAGAGCCACAUCUAUUUACAGAAAUACUCAUUAUAAAUGUUGAUGAAAAUACAAGUGUUAUACAUGGAAUUUGAGAUACUUCUGCUUAAUUCAACUGCUGUGUCAGAUUUAUUUUUAAAUGUUAAGGAAAAAGAAAACCAUGCAAUAAUCUGAGUACAGCGUUCAGACAACAAAGCAGCCAAAAAUAUAUCUGCCAUAUUGUGUAGUCAACAUUAGUCAGAAAUAGCAUUAUAAAUAUUCACUUUGAUGAUCUUCAUCAGAAUGCACACCCAGGAAUCCCAGUUCCACGAUAAAUGUUUGAUUUGUUCGAUAAUGUCCAUUUAUGUCCAAAUAGCUUCUUUUGUUAGCGCGUUUGGUAAACAAAUCCAAACGCGCGUUCCGGUCCAGCCGAACGGUGGACAAAAAGUUAUUACAUCCCGUAGAAACUUGUCAAACUAAGUAUAGAAUCAAUCUUUAGGAUGUUUUUAUCAUAAAUGUUCCAACCGGAGAACUCCUAUGUCUGUAGAAAAGCAAUAGAACGAGAGCUAACUCUCCCGUGACCGUGACUCGGAAGCCUGUGGCACUCUGGCAGACAACUGUCUCAAUCAGCUCUCAUUCACCCCCACUUCACAGUAGAAGCCUGAAACAACAUUCUAAAGACUGUUGACAUCUAGUGGAAGCCUUAGGAAGUGUAAUAUGACCCCAUUUACACUGUAUAGGUUUCCCACUUCCUGGUUGGAUUUUUAUCAGGUUUUCGCCUGCCAUAUGAGUUCUGUUAUACUCACAGACAUCAUUCAAACAGUUUUAGAAACUUCAGUGUUUUCUAUCCAAUACUACUAAUAAUAUGCAUAUAUUAGCAUCUGGGCCAGAGUAGCAGGCAGUUUACUCUGGGCACCUUAUUCAUCCAAGCUACUAAAUACUGCCCCCCCUGUCACCAAGGAGUUAAACAAAUCUAUGAAACAAGAGUAUACACCUCACACACAUGGUUAUGGGCUUUAAAGAAAUACCUGUACCAUAUUAGAAAUACAUUUGAAAUGUAUUCAAUUUUGAGUUUGCAUCCCAAUAUUACAAUUUAUAUACAUCAAAGAAGACAAACAUUACAAAACCAUAGAAACACAGAAUUUUCGGUGGGUUUUUGAAAUAAUGUUUAAUGAUAAAAUAUAUGAAUAACAUUCCACCCAUGAGUCCAUUUAGAUGGAGAUUUGGUCAUUUGACUGCAGGAAAGGGCUACUUGUAGUCUUUUAUGCCACAUUGCUCAGGACUUUAUUGGAUAGGUCCACAUUUCAUGCCAUAAGAGAGACUCCUAAGGGGUGGGGUUGUAGUGUUGUGUGUCUGACACUUUGGUGCUUUGCAUUUCCUUCCCUGAAAUACUGUUUAACUGAGGGAUGCUUUCUCUCCCCUCCUUUGUAAAAUAACUAACAUGUUCUGAUCCCCUUCCACACUGUUCAGCUGAUCAAAGCACUGACACUGCAGUUGACUAACACCUCUCUCUGAUGCCUGCUUCUCCUCAUGCUGUCAGCACUGUCCUUUCUCUUCUCUGUAACCUUGGCAACACUAACACCUUACUCACCUCCGAUCUCUGACGUCUAACAUGACUAACAAGAUUGAGUCUGCUGAGAUGGCCUUGCUGUUCAUUUCAAUGAUGUGCUCCUAACCAAGCUAGCAGGGAGCAUGCCCAUGACAAGCCUGUGCGGAUGGUUUGGUAACAUUAGUCUACCCUAACGUUACAGGAGUGUUGAGGAUGUUAGAGUUGUCAGUGUGUGUAGCUGUGUUGGGGGUUGGGGUGUAUCUCUCAAUCUUACCACCCUAGUUUUUAGUUGGUUUCCCGAGGCCUGGUUUGUCUUGUGAAUGCUGCAUGUACUGGUAACUCUGAGUAACCUUAGCUGGAGUCGUAAAGAACUAACCAACACUGGGGUAAUCCUGGUUUACUAACCUGGACUAACAGUCUAACAUUCACUAAUCAACCAAACUGAAACCCAAGCACUGGAGAAGUGCCUUGUCUGACUCUCCCUGGUUAAAACCAUCCUUAACCACUGUGUGUGUGGGUGUACAUUGUGUGUACAAUAACACUCUAAUACUUAACAGUACUAACGUCUGCUAACAGACCUAUUGUUACUAAUACUCAACUGUACUAUGGAUGAUGUUGGCUGGACUUGUAAUUUCUAACACACUCACUAACCCUUUGCUUUGUGCCCUGAGUCUGAGACAGUCCUCUCACAUUUUCCUGAAACCCUUCUCCGCCAGACACAGAUCAUCCAAAAUCAUAUACAAGAACUAUGUAUUUAUCAAUCUGUUAUAACCUUAAGUGUGAUAUGUUUCUUGAGACAUGUUACUUUUGGCCCCCUAAAGCACAAUGGUGGGUGAUUCCAGGAUCUGGGAUGGAAAGCUGGAUCAACCAAUAGAUUUAAAGAAAAAGUGCACCUCGGUCGACCACACACUUCUGCUCAGGGUGACGAUUGAUUUAAAAAAUAUAUAUAUUACAAAUCGUACAGUAACUAUGCUAAAGAAUUGUAUUUCAUUAAAGCUGAAUUGUAUUUCAUUAAAGCUGAAUUGUAUUUCAUUAAAGCUGAAGUAUUCUAUCUUAACAAAUGGCUGACAAAUGUUUGUCCCUCUGUCCAUUGUGUGGCCAACCUUCAAAAGGUGUUGCAGCUCAGUGCUUGGUUUGCAGUCUGCAUAGACACUGAUGUGUAUUAUCUUCUAAGAUAAACCAAAGGAAAUAACAACCCUUUCCUGCUUUACUACUAACUGACUGGUAUACUAACCACCCCAUAUGAGGCCUAACAAUUUGGCCAUUGCUUCAUUGCUCUUACUAACAUAUGGUAUCUUCCCACAUAAAACAAUGCUACAUUUUACUAUAGUACACUGUAGUAUCCCUGGAUCAUGUGUAGAAAUUACUAUAUCAUUUCGGUAUACAAUAACCGAAAAGACACUGGUUCGAAUCCCUGAGUCGACAAGGCGAAACACUUAAUCCUAAUUGCUUCUGUAAAUCACUCUUUAUCCAGAGCGACUUGUCUGAUAAAUGUCUAAAAUGUAGAAUAGUAUCCUGCACACUGUAGUAUCCCUUGAUCGUGUAGUGCUUACUAUUGGAUUGUGUAGUAUACUGGUGAAUACUACACUCCACAUUGUAAUAUCCCUCUAUCGUGUACUGCUAACUAUAUACUGUAGAAUACUAUACUACACACUGUAGUAUCCCUCGAUCAUGUGUAGUUCUUACUAUAUAUUUGUAUUGUAUAAUACUAGAUUAAAUAAUACAGCAUUAUCUGCAAAAAACACUAGUAAAUACUACCGCAAUGUCCACAAACGUUUUUUUAAAACUAUAGUUAUACUAGAUUAUUUUAAUUUGCAUAUGCUUCACAUUCCCAUCCCCCCCAUACAGUGGUGUAAAGUACUUAAGUAAACAUAGUUGAAAGUACUAGUGAAGUAGUUUUUGAGAUAUCUGUACUUUACUAUUUAUAUUUUUGACAACUUCUACAUCCCUAAAGAAAAUAAUGUACUUUUUACUCUUUACAUUUUCCCUGACACCCAAAAGUACUUGUUACAUUUUGAAUGCUUAGCAGGACAGGAGAAUUGUCUAUUUCACAAACUUAUCAAAAGAACAUCCCUACUGUCUCUGAUCUGGCGGACUCACUAAACACAUGCUUCAUUAGUAAAUUAUGUCUGAGGGUUGUAGUGUGCCCCUGGCGAUCUGUAAAUUAAAAAAACAAAAUUGUUCCGUCUGGAAUUUUACAAUAUUUUAAUUUUACUUUUGAUAAAGUACAUUUAAAAACAAAUACUUAGACUUUUACUCAAGUAGUAUUUUACUAGGUGACUUUCAUUUUUACUUGUCAUUUCUUUUAAGGUAUCUUUAGUUUUACUCAAGUAUGAACAUUUUGUGCUUUUCUUCAUCAUUGCCCCAUAUCUCAGUUUGUGCUAACUAUGAGUGAGAUGCCUACAUGCCACGUAUAGAGCAAAUAUUGUCUUCCCUACAGAUUAUAAAAAAAGAACAGAUGCUCUGACCUAUCUGAUCAGACUCCAGUUCUACCUACAGGUUAUGGAACAUUUGCUAUUUUUGCCCAGCAGGUUUCCUCAAGGAGAAAUCCUCCAUUUCUAUGGGCCUCUCCCGAGUCCAAACAUGAGUUUGCAAAGAUGGGUCAAGAUUGUAAGUACCAAUUGGAUGUCACGAAAUUGUGGAGAAAAAGGGGUAAAAAGUACAAACAAAUACUACAAAAAACCUCAUCGUAAACACUAGAGCAAUAUCUGUAAAAACUACAGUAAUUACUAUAGUAUAUGCUAUAGUUUUUACUAUAGUCAUAUUUUCAGUAUUUAUACUGUAGUAAGCUUUACUACAGUAUACUAGAGGUGUCCACAAACACUACAGUAAAGUCUGCAAAAACACUACAGUGAAACCUAUAGUAUACUUAUGCAAAAACUACAGUGAAUACUAUAGUAUAUUAGUCAUGUCCGCAAAAACACUACAGUGAAAACUAUAAUAUACUUCCGUAAAACACUACACUGAAUACGAUAGUAUAUAAAUAUAGUAAUACUACAGUAUUUAGAGCAUAGUAUACUAUAGUAUUUUUUUCAUAUGUGACUCUUUUAAUCCUGUCACCCACUCCACCCUGCCCCUUGGUGAGAUCAAACAGCAUCUAGUAGGCCAUGCAGUAUAUUGUCUUUACUUCCUGAGUCAUGAGGAUAGACAUCCUUGUGUCCUUGAUCAUGACAUUUUUACUAACCUCCUGAAAUGGAGUGAGAACACUAACUAUUGGGUGAUUCCACGCCAGUGGGAGCAGAAAAUAUUUUUGUUAUCAGAUUGUUCUUUCAAUUCUCACAUAGAAACUUCAUUGGGAGGAAGGAUGUUUGAAAUGCUUUUAUUUCUAUCACAAACUGUUUGAGAGAAUCAUGAUGAAAGUAGCCAUUUUAAGUAAGAAACAUAAAAAGGAAAUAGUCAAACAAAAUAACAAAACUAUAUACAAGGAGUACUGGUACCGAGUCAAUUUGCAGGGAUACGAGGAAAUUGAGGCAAUAUGUACAUGUACAGUUGAAGUCGGAAGUUUACAUACACCUUAGCCAAAUACAUUUAAACUCAGUUUUUCACAAUUGCUGACAUUUAAUCCUAGUAACAAUUCCCUGUCUUAGGUCAGUUAGGAUCACCACUUUAUUUUAAGAAUCUGAAAUGUCAGAAUAAUAGUAGAGAGAAUGAGAAUUUAUUCAAUCUUUUAUUUCUUUCAUCACAUUCCCAGUGGGUCAGAAGUUUACAUGCACUCAAUUAGUAUUUGGUAGCAUUGCCUUUAAAUUGUUUCACUUGGGUUGCCUUCCACAAGCUUCCCACAAUAAGUUGGGUGAAUUGUGGCCCAUUCCUCCUGACAGAGCUGUUGUAACCGAGUCAGGUUUGUAGGUCUCCUUGCUCGCACACGCUUUUUCAGUUCUGCCCACAAAUUUUCUAUAGGAUUGAGGUCAGGGCUUUGUGAUGGCCACUCCAAUACCUCGACUUUGUUGUCCUUAAUUAAGCAAUCUUUUUUUGUGAAGUGCACCAGUCCCUCCUGCAGCAAAGCACCCCACAACAUGAUGCUGCCACCCCCGUGCUUCACGGUUGGGACGGUGUUCUUCGGCUUGCAAGCCUCCCCCUUUUUCCUCCAAACAUUACGAUGGACAUUAUGGCCGAACAGUUCCAUUUUUGAUUCAUCAGACCAGAGGACAAAAAGUACGAUCUUUGUCCCCAUGUGCAGUUGCAAACCGUAGUCUGGCUUUUUUAUGGCGGUUUUGGAGCAGUUGCUUCUUCCUUGCUGAGCAGCCUUUCAGGUUAUGUUGAUAUAGGACUCCUUUUACUGUGGAUAUAGAUACUUUUGUACCCGUUUCCUCCAGCAUCUUCACAAGGUCCUUUGCUGUUGUUCUGGAAUUGAUUUGCACUUUUUGCACCAAAUUACAUUCAUCUCUAGGAGACAGAACGAACGCAUCUCCUUCCUGAGCGGUAUGACGGCUGCAUGGUCCCAUGGUAUUUAUACUUGCGUACUAUUGUUUGUACAGAUGAACUUAGUACCUUCAGGCAUUUGGAAAUUGCUACCAAGGAUGAACCAGACUUGUGGAGGUCUACACAUUUUUUUCCUGAGGUCUUGGCUGAUUUCUUUAGAUUUUCCCAUGUCGUCAAGCAAAGAGGCACUGAGUUUGAAGGUAGGCCUUGAAAUACAUCCACAGGUACACCUCCAAUUGACUCAAAUGAUGUCAUUUAGCCUAUCAGAAGCUUCUAAAGCCAUGACAUCAUUUUCUGGAAUUUUCCAAGCUGUUUAUAGGCAAAGUCAACUUAGUGUAUGUAAACUUCUGACCCACUGGAAUUGUGAUACAGUGAAAUGAUCUGUUAACAAUUGUUGGAAAAAAUUACUUGUCAUGCACAAAGUAGAUGUCCUAACUGACUUGCCAAAACUAUAGUUUGACAAGAAAUUUGUGGAGUGGUUGAAAAACGAGUUUUAAUGACUCCAACCUAAUUUGACUUCCGACUUCAACUGUAGGUAGGGGUUAAACCUGACUAGACUAUCAGGAUGGAUAAUAAACAGAGUAGCAGCAGCGUGUGUGACGUCAACGUGUGUGGGUGGAGUCCAGUGAGUCUGCAUAGUGCCGGUGCAAGAGAGUCGGUACAAAUAAAAAGGGGCUCAAUGCAAAUAGUCAGGGUUGACAUUUUAUUAACUGUUCAGCAGUCUUAUGGCUUAGGGGUAGGAGCUGUUCAGGAGCCUUUUGGUCCCAGACUUGGCGCUCCGGUACCACUUGCUGUGCGUUAGCAGAGAGAACAGUCUUUGACUUGGGUAGCUGGAGUCUGGCUUAUUUUUAGACAUUGUAACAAUAUACUCUUCAAACCAUGUCGAAUUUCCAGAGUGGGCUCUAUCAUACUUUUAAUGAUAUGACCCGUUUUUAUACAUAGAUAUUGACAUAGGUCACUAACCAAUUCCAGUCCUCCUUUAGGUCACCGGCAGAGUUCCCUUUGAAAUAUUUUGUCCAUUCACUGUUUUGGUGAUGCUCAAAUUGAUCAUACCUUCAGAAUUAGCGGAGAGCCCACUCUGGAAAUUUGAUUUACUUGUAGAGCAUGGUUCCCCAACUGGUGGCCCAUGGGCCGAAUUAGGCUCACUGGUGGUUUUAUUUGGCCCCCCAACUUUUGUUUAUUGGAAUUUUCAUUGUUGGACAUAAAAUACUGCAAAACACUAGGAAAUCAUCUCCAAUUGAGUUUUAAUUUAGGAAAUGUAUUCCCACACGAGACAGGUAAUCAUAUACAAAUUUAAGCAAGGUUUGAAAAUUAUUGUUUGUCAUAUUAUAUCCGUUUAGGUUUCUUACGGUAAUUUUGCAGUCUACAAAUGAUUUGUAAUUAUGUUCCGACCAUCCGCUCACGUAAAAUCAGCCCACAGCUGAAUCUAGUUGAUGAUUCCUGUUGUAAAGUAUAUGCUUCCAAACAAUGUCUUAAAAUGAAACAAAUUCUAAAAAAGUAGUUUUGAGAUAUUCAUAUUAAUAGUUGUGAAAGGUUUUAUUUCAGAACCAAGACAUACAUAUUUUACAGUACACUAUAAGAAGAAUAAUGACACCAAGAUGUCUGUCAUGUACUGUUCAAGGGGUCUUUAAAAGGGUCUAAAAUAGCUACUUUCAUCAUGAUUUUCAACAGCAACAAAAACUAAUGAUACAAAUGUAAAAACCAUGUCAAACAUCCAUCUCCCAAUGAAGUUUCUGUGAGAAUUGCCAGAACAAUCUGAGAUAUAAAAAAUAUUUUCUGCUGGCAUGGAAUCGCUCUUUUGGGACAUGAUAGCUCCCCACAAUCAAACAAACUAACUAACCUACUAAUUAUCUAACUAACUAACCCACAAAUUAACUAACCUACUAAUUAUCUAACAAACAAGCUAAAAUCAUGUGCUCAGAGUUGAGGUUUUGGUUCAACAAACCAUCACCUCACUUUGGUGUGUGUGUCCGUGUGCAUGUGUGGGCAUGCGUGUGUGUGUGUGCCUGCAUGUGUGUACAUUUAUUCUCAAACUGUGUGCAUGACGAGGUGAUUUUGUCUGAGUGUUAAUGAGUGUUUAUCUAUCAGUUUUCUGCUGAGUAACAUUAUGGCAUAGCAAUGUUGUCCUCAUCCCCUAUUUACAAGUGAUUUAGCCUAAAAAUGAGACCGCAUUUUAUGAUAACGAAACAACUGUCAAAGCUUGACUAUCAAAUUGAUGAAGCUACUGUAUGAAGCAGUUUUUCAGUAUAGCUCAGUCAUAGGAGUUAAGGAUGACCAACCUAACUAAUCAGUGACCACCAGUGUGGAAGAGGUCUUACUUCCUUGGCUUCUCUGUCCUUUAUGUACUGCCAUUACUGAAUGCUGGAUUGACAACACACAUUCCCCAUGUUCUUUUCACUGUGGAAUAAACUGUCAGACAUUUUGAAAA